AUUACAACUAAAUAGCCAUAGACAGUAGGUGCUUAUAGGCUUAAUAACCUACUUAGGCAAUAGUGUUUUGUAUAUAACCUAUUAUGCGUCUAUGGACUAUUUAAUAGGUUUUUUAUUUGA
RNAcentral lists this small RNA (120 nucleotides) under uncultured Peptoanaerobacter sp. RNAcentral describes it as "Ribosomal protein L10 leader". It matches the Rfam family "Ribosomal protein L10 leader". From Rfam's summary of the family: This family is a putative r-protein leader autoregulatory structure found in B. subtilis and other low-GC Gram-positive bacteria. It is located in the 5' untranslated regions of mRNAs encoding ribosomal proteins L10 and L12 (rplJ-rplL). Lineage: Bacteria; Bacillati; Bacillota; Clostridia; Peptostreptococcales; Filifactoraceae. The record is from RNAcentral.